GCUAAUACCGGAUAAGUCUUUACGGAGAAAGCUUUAUGCACCAUUGGAUGAGCCUGCACUUGAUUAGUUUGUUGGUGGGGUAAUGGCCUACCAAGACUGUGAUCAAUAGCUGAUUUGAGAGGAUGAUCAGCCACAUUGGGACUGAGACACGGCCCAAACUCCUACGGGAGGCAGCAGUGGGGAAUCUUGCACAAUGGAGGAAACUCUGAUGCAGCGAUGCCGCGUGAGUGAAGAAGGCCCUUGGGUUGUAAAGCUCUUUCGUCG
RNAcentral lists this ribosomal RNA (264 nucleotides) under uncultured bacterium. Its description in RNAcentral is "partial 16S ribosomal RNA". It matches the Rfam family "Bacterial small subunit ribosomal RNA", at positions 162 to 441 of the family's 1533-position model. The record is from RNAcentral.